Molecule: ribosomal RNA, 301 nt
Filed under: uncultured bacterium
Lineage: Bacteria
Description: partial 16S ribosomal RNA
Rfam family: Bacterial small subunit ribosomal RNA
Source: RNAcentral
CAGCAGCCGCGGGAAUACGAAGGGUGCAAGCGUUAAUCGGAAUUACUGGGCGUAAAGCGUGCGUAGGCGGUGAGUUAAGUCUGCUGUGAAAUCCCCGGGCUCAACCUGGGAAUGGCAGUGGAUACUGGCUCGCUAGAGUGUGUCAGAGGAUGGUGGAAUUCCCGGUGUAGCGGUGAAAUGCGUAGAGAUCGGAAGGAACAUCUGUGGCGAAGGCGACUAUCUGGGCCAACACUGACACUGAGACACGAAAGCGUGGGGAGCAAACAGGAUUAGAUACCCCGGUAGUCCCUGUCUCUUAUAC